GUUCUAGAGCGAACGAUGCCAUUCCUAUUCGUCUAUUCAUAAUGGAGUUAUUUCCCAUUGCAGUUCUCAUUCCAUUAACCAUGGCAGGCUGCCCAAGCCCGCUCCCCAUUGAUCCAUAUCCACCUCCUCCCAUCCCUGAGCCACCGUUUGUUGCUCCGUUUCCGCCCAUGCAAUUCCCAUUGUUGAGACCUGUACUACUUGUAGGUAAGACCCCAUUCACGUUUUUCA
RNAcentral lists this unclassified non-coding RNA (228 nucleotides) under Hevea brasiliensis (rubber tree). Lineage: Eukaryota; Viridiplantae; Streptophyta; Magnoliopsida; Malpighiales; Euphorbiaceae. The record is from RNAcentral.